GAUGAACGCUGGCGGCGUGCCUAAUACAUGCAAGUCGAGCGAACAGACGAGGAGCUUGCUCCUCUGACGUUAGCGGCGGACGGGUGAGUAACACGUGGAUAACCUACCUAUAAGACUGGGAUAACUUCGGGAAACCGGAGCUAAUACCGGAUAAUAUAUUGAACCGCAUGGUUCAAUAGUGAAAGACGGUUUUGCUGUCACUUAUAGCUGGAUCCGCGCCGCAUUAGCUAGUUGGUAAGGUAACGGCUUACCAAGGCAACGAUGCGUAGCCGACCUGAGAGGGUGAUCGGCCACACUGGAACUGAGACACGGUCCAGACUCCUACGGUAGGCAGCAGUAGGGAAUCUUCCGCAAUGGGCGAAAGCUUGACGGAGCAACGCCGCGUGAGUGAUGAAGGUCUUCGGAUCGUAAAACUCUGUUAUUAGGGAAGAACAAAUGUGUAAGUAACUAUGCACGUCUUGACGGUACCUAAUCAGAAAGCCACGGCUAACUACGUG
This 497-nucleotide ribosomal RNA is filed under the name uncultured bacterium. RNAcentral describes it as "partial 16S ribosomal RNA". It matches the Rfam family "Bacterial small subunit ribosomal RNA", at positions 28 to 507 of the family's 1533-position model. The record is from RNAcentral.